Molecule: non-coding RNA, 136 nt
Filed under: Pseudarthrobacter phenanthrenivorans
Lineage: Bacteria; Bacillati; Actinomycetota; Actinomycetes; Micrococcales; Micrococcaceae
Description: TPP sequence
Rfam family: TPP riboswitch aptamer (THI element)
About the family: Vitamin B(1) in its active form thiamin pyrophosphate (TPP) is an essential coenzyme that is synthesised by coupling of pyrimidine and thiazole moieties in bacteria. The previously detected thiamin-regulatory element, thi box was extended, resulting in a new, highly conserved RNA secondary structure, the THI element, which is widely distributed in eubacteria and also occurs in some archaea.
Source: RNAcentral
AUUCAACGACAGGGGAGCGCCGCCGUCGGACUGGCCAUGCCAGGCACCGCAGGUGGGCGCUGAGAGUGCGGACAGCCGCAGACCCUCGAACCUGAUCCGGUUAGUACCGGCGCAAGGGAGUCGAGUUCUCGAAGUG